RNAcentral lists this long non-coding RNA (1036 nucleotides) under Gopherus agassizii (Agassiz's desert tortoise). RNAcentral's name for it is "lncRNA (ENSGAGG00000001753.1)". Lineage: Eukaryota; Metazoa; Chordata; Testudines; Testudinidae. The record is from RNAcentral.
CAUUUUCUCAUGCCUUGCAAAUAGCAAAGAGAGCUAGUUGUUCUGUAGGUGGGGGGAAAAGACAAUUUGCUUUUGUCAUGAGCCUCCUUUCUGUUAUGAGGGAUUUCUAUCUGCACUAUUAUGCAGAUGGUGCCAGAUGGCAAAAUUCUCNAUGGUGCCAGAUGGCAAAAUUCUCUCCCAGGGAUGGAGUAGACUUUGUUCCAACACAGAGUUGGGCAGGCCAAAGUUAAAGGUUGUAAGCACCCACUACAGUGACAGCACAUAUAUAGUUUCCCUUUCAGGUCUAGGAGCUACUUCUUAGGAUAGUUUGCAUGGUGGAGAUUGUAUAUGCAUUUUUAAAACAUGCACCACAGUCCUUCAGGAGUAUUAAAUGAAGGACCCAGUCUACCUUUACAUGAAUAGUCCCUUUUGAGUCAUGCAAGAGUUGCAGUCAGACCCUAAAACUCUGUCCUUUUCUGUUGCUGCCAUCCUCAUCUGUUAAAUAGCAAUUGAAAUAGUUAAAUAACUUUGCUUUUUCAUUAAAGUGAAAUGUCAUUAACGACUCAUUUUAAAUCAAUAAAUGCAGUAAAUAGUGUAAUGUGACCUAAAAAUCUUAAUUUUAAAGACCUGAAUAUUAUUAAUGAAUAAGCUAUCUCUCUUUUCAAAAACAAAAAAGCCUGCCUUUUGUUUCCAGUUGGUUGGCAUCCCUGCUGGAAAGAGAGCCUUUAAAUGUGUUUCUGACUACUUUGGUAAUGUUUAUAAAAAGCCAACAAACUGAGUUUGGAAACUUCUUUUUUAAAAAGAUUGAUUUAGUAAAGGGAUCUGAAGUUCAGUUUUACAUUUGGGUAGAGUUCUUACAGUGUUUCUUCUUUUUAGCUAAAGAGACGUCUAAUAAGAAAGAAACAGCAAAUGAGGGUGAGGCGGGAAAAGCAGAGAUGACUGUGCGUCGAAGAGGAAGAAAGCCCAGAUGUUCUGUGAUUCCAUCAGAGGAAACUGGUAAGACAUGAAAUUGUGCUACUCUUAACAGACUGAAGAGUUUACUGUGCCUAGGUAUGCA